This 945-nucleotide ribosomal RNA is filed under the name Lindgomyces rotundatus. Its description in RNAcentral is "SSU rRNA". It matches the Rfam family "Eukaryotic small subunit ribosomal RNA", at positions 102 to 1055 of the family's 1831-position model. Lineage: Eukaryota; Fungi; Ascomycota; Dothideomycetes; Pleosporales; Lindgomycetaceae. The record is from RNAcentral.
UAAAUCAGUUAUCGUUUAUUUGAUAGUACCUUACUACUUGGAUAACCGUGGUAAUUCUAGAGCUAAUACAUGCUAAAAACCCCGACUUCGGAAGGGGUGUAUUUAUUAGAUAAAAAACCAAUGCCCUUCGGGGCUCUUUGGUGAUUCAUAAUAACUUAACGGAUCGCAUGGCCUUGCGCCGGCGACGGUUCAUUCAAAUUUCUGCCCUAUCAACUUUCGAUGGUAAGGUAUUGGCUUACCAUGGUUUCAACGGGUAACGGGGAAUUAGGGUUCGAUUCCGGAGAGGGAGCCUGAGAAACGGCUACCACAUCCAAGGAAGGCAGCAGGCGCGCAAAUUACCCAAUCCCGACACGGGGAGGUAGUGACAAUAAAUACUGAUACAGGGCUCUUUUGGGUCUUGUAAUUGGAAUGAGUACAAUUUAAACCCCUUAACGAGGAACAAUUGGAGGGCAAGUCUGGUGCCAGCAGCCGCGGUAAUUCCAGCUCCAAUAGCGUAUAUUAAAGUUGUUGCAGUUAAAAAGCUCGUAGUUGAAACUUGGGCCUGGCUGGCCGGUCCGCCUCACCGCGUGUACUGGUCCGGCCGGGCCUUUCCUUCUGGAGAGCCUCAUGCCCUUCACUGGGUGUGUUGGGGAACCAGGACUUUUACUUUGAAAAAAUUAGAGUGUUCAAAGCAGGCCUUUGCUCGAAUACGUUAGCAUGGAAUAAUAGAAUAGGACGUGCGAUCCUAUUUUGUUGGUUUCUAGGACCGCCGUAAUGAUUAAUAGGGAUAGUCGGGGGCAUCAGUAUUCAAUUGUCAGAGGUGAAAUUCUUGGAUUUAUUGAAGACUAACUACUGCGAAAGCAUUUGCCAAGGAUGUUUUCAUUAAUCAGUGAACGAAAGUUAGGGGAUCGAAGACGAUCAGAUACCGUCGUAGUCUUAACCGUAAACUAUGCCGACUAGGGAUCG